AAAUUGGACACAGGGGGCAACCGUGAUCCAGCCAUGCCGCGUGUGUGAAGAAGGUNUUNNGAUUGNANAGCACUUUAAGUUGGNNNNNAGGGCUUUAGGAUAAUAACCGGAAGACUUGACGUUAUCAACAGAAGAAGCACCGGCUAACACUGUGCGCGCAGCCGCGGUAAUACAGAGGGUGCAAGCGUUACUCGGAAUUACGGGGCGUAAAGCGCGCGAAGGGGGUUAAGUAAGAUAGGUGAGAAAUCACCGGGCUUAACCUGGGAGCUACUUUCAUAACUGCUAAGCUAGAGUACGGUAGGGGGUAGUGAAAUUUCCUGUGUAGCGGUGAAAUGCGUAGAUAUAGGAAGGAACAACAGUGGCGAACGCGACUACCUGGACUGAUACUGACACUGAGGUGCGAAAGCGUGGGGAGAAAACA
RNAcentral lists this ribosomal RNA (421 nucleotides) under uncultured bacterium. Its description in RNAcentral is "partial 16S ribosomal RNA". It matches the Rfam family "Bacterial small subunit ribosomal RNA", at positions 359 to 774 of the family's 1533-position model. The record is from RNAcentral.